Molecule: long non-coding RNA, 1754 nt
Filed under: Nicotiana benthamiana
Lineage: Eukaryota; Viridiplantae; Streptophyta; Magnoliopsida; Solanales; Solanaceae
Description: long non-coding RNA (NBEN_LNC034204)
Source: RNAcentral
GUACAUUAGGUUAUAAACAUCACUGUUCAAAGUGUAAACAUCACUUGUUUAAAGCACAACCUUUAUUCCACCUUUUUGAUGAUGACAGACUUUGUGCUUUUCAUAAGCUUAGGCCCUGUUUCAACUCAGCUCAAUAUCAACACAAUGUUUAGAAAUAUUUUUCUUUUUUAUCACUUAUCAUUAAGGACCAAGUACAUUAGGUUAUAAAUAUUACUGUUCAAAGUGUAAACAUCACUUGUUUAAAGCACAACCUUUUCCCCCUUUUUAUCAUCAUCGAAAAGUUGCAUAAAAAAUGUGAGAUAAGUAGAUAUUAAAGCUUCCUCAUGGACACUGGGGCUACUCAAAUGCAAAUAUGGAUUAAUCAUCAUAGAUCAAACUAAAAAUUUCAGUUAUCAAAGAAAUAUAAACAAACAACUAGAGCAAAAACAAUGAAUUUCAUUGAUGAUUGAUAUGAUACUACCACAAAGCAUAAGAAGAAAUAAAAAUACUGAAAAUACGAGCAAAAUAAAUGGAACAUCCCGAACUGUCAUUGGUUAAUCUACACUAGGCUAGGAGGCUUAAGGCUGGGAAGAACUAGGUGCUUGGUUUUUGACUUGGAGGAGUUUCAGAAUACCAUAAAAAAUGCCAUCAUUCUCCUCUUUUUCUCUUGCCAGCUCAGUUUUGAGAGCAUUUCUUUUAGUAUCCAUCUUAACCAACCGCUUCUUUAGCCAUUCAAUCUCAUCAUCCUUAGCCUUACUUUCUUGUACCAAGGCACUGACCUUGCUAUUCACUGAUACCUUUUUGGAUGGACUAGAUUCUUUAGGAGUGAAAUUAACUUCAUAAUCACAAGCAAGCAGAGUAUUAAUACCAAAAUGAUCCUUUCUUGUACUAACCUCCUACUUCUUCAUAGGUACCUUGAAAUGUUACGACACAUUUGUGAGAAUGAAACCAUAGGGAAUGACAUGAGUUUUGGUGACAUUGAUAAUCCUAUCAGUAGGUCUGCAAAGGUUUUUUUUUCAGAUGGAACAUGUUCAUCUAUAUUUUUUCCAAGUUGAACCAACCCCUCCGCAGCUUCGCCAUACCUAUUUCCCAAUAUUUUGUUCACUCUCUCUUCUAUUUCACUAAAUUCAUCUUCCCAAACAACCAUUGCAUAGGUUUCUUUUGUUAGACCAAUAGGAGUGGGUGAAGAAUCAGCCACUCUUGUCCUAUUUCCCCUCACAGUACUCCUAGCGCCCAUUCUCUCCUUUUUUUACCACCAACUUAUGCAGAUUAUGUAGUCUCAAGACCUGCUAUACAUCCUACAAAUCUAUUCUCUAAAUUUGCAGCAACUUUAGAAAUUGUCUCAGGAGAAACUUUAGAAUCAGAAGAUAUCUGUUCAGUUUCGGAAAACCUACUUUCUUCCCCCUUAGUAGCAGACUUGAAUGAAUCUUCAUAUUUCUAGGAUUCUUCUUCCCUACCUGCUUUCUUGUUUAUUUUCUUGAUCUCCUCUCCUUUAGUGAAAAUCAUACGAGCCAUCAUCUUUACUUAACUUUUUUAAGGAUUGGUGUGGUUGAAGCAGUGGUAGAAGGUGUGGAAAUGGUUUCCUGUGGUGAUAAAAGAUUUUCAGAGGUGUUUGACAUAUCUAGGCUAGGGUAUGGAAAAUAAGAGAAUUAGAUUGUGUCUGGAAAAUGACAGAAGAAUGAGUGUUUUUGACGACUUGAGAGAGGUGAGGUAAGGAAUACACUAAAGCUGAUCAAUCUAUAGGGGAAUAAUUGAUGGGGUAACUACAGCUUUUC